This 253-nucleotide ribosomal RNA is filed under the name uncultured bacterium. RNAcentral's name for it is "partial 16S ribosomal RNA". It matches the Rfam family "Bacterial small subunit ribosomal RNA", at positions 524 to 776 of the family's 1533-position model. The record is from RNAcentral.
UACGGGGGGAGCAAGCGUUGUUCGGAUUUACUGGGCGUAAAGCGUGCGCAGGCGGUUGUGCAAGACAGAUGUGAAAUCCCCGGGCUUAACCUGGGAACUGCAUUUGUGACUGCACGGCUAGAGUGUGUCAGAGGGGGGUAGAAUUCCACGUGUAGCAGUGAAAUGCGUAGAUAUGUGGAGGAAUACCGAUGGCGAAGGCAGCCCCCUGGGAUAACACUGACGCUCAUGCACGAAAGCGUGGGGAGCAAACAGG